GAUGAACGCUAGCUACAGGCUUAACACAUGCAAGUCGCAGGGUAACAUGAGGAAAGCUUGCUUUCCUUGAUGACGACUGGCGCACGGGUGAGUAACGCGUAUCCAACCUUCCCAUAACUACGGGAUAACCCGUUGAAAGACGGCCUAAUACCGUAUGAUAUCGUUUGCUGACAUCAAAUAACGAUUAAAGGUUUAGCGGUUAUGGAUGGGGAUGCGUCUGAUUAGCUUGUUGGCGGGGUAACGGCCCACCAAGGCGACGAUCAGUAGGGGUUCUGAGAGGAAGGUCCCCCACAAUGGAACUGAGACACAGACCAAACUCCUACGGGAGGCAGCAGUAAGGAAUAUUGGUCAAUGGGCGAGAGCCUGAACCAGCCAAGUAGCGUGCAGGACGACGGCCCUAUGGGUUGUAAACUGCUUUUAUGUGGGGAUAAAGUGCGUGACGUGUCAUGCAUUGCAGGUACCAAAUGAAUAAGGACCGGCUAAUUCCGUG
RNAcentral lists this ribosomal RNA (490 nucleotides) under uncultured bacterium. RNAcentral describes it as "partial 16S ribosomal RNA". It matches the Rfam family "Bacterial small subunit ribosomal RNA", at positions 28 to 507 of the family's 1533-position model. The record is from RNAcentral.